GGAGUUAGCCGGUGCUUCUUCUGUGAGUGAUGUCCUUCCUGCCGGCUAUUAACCCGCAGGCCUUCUUCCUCACUGAAAGUGCUUUACAACCCGAAGGCCUUCUUCACACACGCGGCAUGGCUGGAUCAGGGUUGCCCCCAUUGUCCAAUAUUCCCCACUGCUGCCUCCCGUAGGAGUCUGGGCCGUGUCUCAGUCCCAGUGUGGCUGAUCAUCCUCUCAGACCAGCUACGGAUCGUCGCCUUGGUGAGCCGUUACCUCACCAACCAGCUAAUCCGACAUAGGCUCAUCCGAUAGCGCGAGGCCCGAAGGUCCCCCGCUUUCCCCCGUAGGGCGUAUGCGGUAUUAGCCUGGGUUUCCCCAGGUUAUCCCCCACUACCGGGCAGAUUCCUAUGCAUUACUCACCCGUCCGCCGCUCGCCACCAGGGAGCAAGCUCCCCGUGCUGCCGCUCGACUUGCAUGUGUUAGGCCUGCCGCCAGCGUUCAAUCUGAGCCAUAACUACAAACUCUGA
RNAcentral lists this ribosomal RNA (509 nucleotides) under uncultured bacterium. RNAcentral describes it as "partial 16S ribosomal RNA". The record is from RNAcentral.